UUGCUCCUCAGAGUUGCUCUGGGCUAAUCCUGCAAGGAGCUUUUGGCUUGGGCAGUUUCAACGUUCACCUGAGACUGUGGAAUGAACUCGCCUGGGUCAAAUCCAUUCCUCCUGCAGCUUGCUUGAGCGUGUUGGCUCAGUGGAUUUACACCAGGAAAAACCCAUUUCCUAUGUAAGUCAACAGAAGGGAGCUUCAGUUCCUUGCAGCCACACUCAGGAUUUAAUAGUGAGCAGCAGGUUCAAGCUUUUGAUGGUCAUAGUAAAUCUGGAAGAAUCCAUUUUCUAUCCAAUACCUGAUGGCUGCUUGGAGUUCCAUCAUCGAUCUCCUUCACUCUGAUCUUUGCCUGUGAUCAAUAAGCAAACAUAGCAGAGCCUGGAACCUCAGUCUGGAUUUCCUCAGCCCUUUCAUUUUGUUCUCCUUGUUCAGCCUUAAAAAGUUAUUUACAAGGCCCUUCCAGAGGCAGGUGAUUUCGGCUGCUCUAAUGCUUGGUUUGUUUUUGUCUCCCCAAAUUGCUGCUGACCUGCAAGCAGUGGCCAAAUCAGACUGAAAUUAAAAAGGUGGUGGGAUAUGCCCCAGCCUCUCCUCAAUCAAUACCAGCCUAAAUUACUGCAAACCUGGAGCCAUGGUGCAUGUAAUACAUCAUUUUGU
Molecule: long non-coding RNA, 649 nt
Organism: Pogoniulus pusillus (Red-fronted tinkerbird)
Lineage: Eukaryota; Metazoa; Chordata; Aves; Piciformes; Lybiidae
Exons: 3
Source: RefSeq, a predicted model, not a curated record